RNAcentral lists this ribosomal RNA (807 nucleotides) under Bacillus pumilus. RNAcentral's name for it is "bacterial SSU rRNA". It matches the Rfam family "Bacterial small subunit ribosomal RNA", at positions 544 to 1349 of the family's 1533-position model. Lineage: Bacteria; Bacillati; Bacillota; Bacilli; Caryophanales; Bacillaceae. The record is from RNAcentral.
UCCGGAAUUAUUGGGGCGUAGAGGGCUCGCAGGCGGUUUCUUAAGUCUGAAUGUGAAAGCCCCCGGCUCAACCGGGGAGGGUCAUUGGAAACUGGGAAACUUGAGUGCAGAAGAGGAGAGUGGAAUUCCACGUGUAGCGGUGAAAUGCGUAGAGAUGUGGAGGAACACCAGUGGCGAAGGCGACUCUCUGGUCUGUAACUGACGCUGAGGAGCGAAAGCGUGGGGAGCGAACAGGAUUAGAUACCCUGGUAGUCCACGCCGUAAACGAUGAGUGCUAAGUGUUAGGGGGUUUCCGCCCCUUAGUGCUGCAGCUAACGCAUUAAGCACUCCGCCUGGGGAGUACGGUCGCAAGACUGAAACUCAAAGGAAUUGACGGGGGCCCGCACAAGCGGUGGAGCAUGUGGUUUAAUUCGAAGCAACGCGAAGAACCUUACCAGGUCUUGACAUCCUCUGACAACCCUAGAGAUAGGGCUUUCCCUUCGGGGACAGAGUGACAGGUGGUGCAUGGUUGUCGUCAGCUCGUGUCGUGAGAUGUUGGGUUAAGUCCCGCAACGAGCGCAACCCUUGAUCUUAGUUGCCAGCAUUCAGUUGGGCACUCUAAGGUGACUGCCGGUGACAAACCGGAGGAAGGUGGGGAUGACGUCAAAUCAUCAUGCCCCUUAUGACCUGGGCUACACACGUGCUACAAUGGACAGAACAAAGGGCUGCAAGACCGCAAGGUUUAGCCAAUCCCAUAAAUCUGUUCUCAGUUCGGAUCGCAGUCUGCAACUCGACUGCGUGAAGCUGGAAUCGCUAGUAAUCGCGGAU